AAAAAAAAAAUUCUUCUUCCUCUUCCAUGGAUUCUAAAACCCCUUUCAUUGCACUUGCACCACUCCUUGUCAAUAAGGAAGACUAUCAUGUCUAGGCAGCAAGGAUGGAGGCUCAUUUGGAGGUAAAUGAUCUCUAAAAAGCUGUUGAGGAGAACUACGAAGUUCCUCCCUUUCCUGAAAAUCCAACCACGACAUAGUUAAAGAACCACAAGUAAAAGAAAAACAAGAAAGUCCAAGGCUAGAGCUAUGUUAUUUACUAUAGUCUCAUAAAAAAUCUUUGCCAGAAUUAUGACAAAGAAGUCAACAUUUGAGG
Molecule: long non-coding RNA, 313 nt
Filed under: Gossypium barbadense (sea-island cotton)
Lineage: Eukaryota; Viridiplantae; Streptophyta; Magnoliopsida; Malvales; Malvaceae
Description: long non-coding RNA (GBAR_LNC017771)
Source: RNAcentral